Molecule: ribosomal RNA, 200 nt
Filed under: uncultured prokaryote
Description: partial 16S ribosomal RNA
Rfam family: Bacterial small subunit ribosomal RNA
Source: RNAcentral
GUCAAGUCAUCAUGGCCCUUAUGUCCAGGGCUACACACGUGCUACAAUGGACGGUACAGAGCGCUGCGAAGCCGCGAGGCUCGAGCGAACCGCUUAAAGCCGUCCGUAGUCCGGAUUGAAGUCUGAAACCCGACUUCAUGAAGUUGGAAUCGCUAGUAAUCGCGCAUCAGCACGGCGCGGUGAAUACGUUCCCGGGCCUU